GGAGAAGCAGAACACGCCGAGCCGGCCUCCACGCAUGGUGGUGUCUAUGGUGACCCCUGAGUCAGCCACCAACUCGGAGCCUUCAUAAAACUGCACCCUGCGGACAACACAGCCAGAGCGGGCCUCCACCUGGAGCAUGCUCCCGCUGCUGUGUUCCCCUUUCCCUACGAGACUGGAAGCUCCAUGAGGUCAGGGACCACCUGUCCACAUCUCCCCUCUUCUGUCUCUCCAAAGGCCUAGCAUGAUGCUGGGCACCGAGUUCAACUCGCUGGGUACUCGCUGAUGAGUUAAAGAGAAAUCACAAUACGACUCAGGACCGAGAGGCUUUGUGACUUCACUGUCCAGUGGUUGACUCUGCAGAUACUGAGCCGCUGAUACGGAAGGCCGACUGUGGGACUGGAGCAUCUGCAGAUCUUUAUCCCUGGCGGGGUCCUGGAACUGAUCCCCUGAAUUGCUCAAAGUCCUACAGGGAAAUAAGGCAGAUUACAUCGGCUCACAUGAAGGUCAGUUCAUGCCGAGGGUGGGACGUGCCGUCACUGUGUCAGGCACUGGGGAGACCAAGAUAAAAUGAGACAUGGGUGCUGCCCUCGUGGAGUUUAUCAGACCGUGAGGGACUCACUGCAGCGUGAAAUGUUUGUGGGUCCACAGGGAGGAGGACACACCGGAGCAUCUACUGCAGAGAUGAGAAGCAUGGCUCUAGGGUCAGACUGCCUAGGUCCCAAAUCCAGCAAUCUUAGCUGCUUAACUGCAGUGCUACCAUGAGUAAUCACUCAAGCUUUGUAACACUUGAGCUCAUCAUCUGUAAAACGAGGCUAAUGAAAGAGCUCUGUCACAGGGCUGUUGAGAGGAACAAACACGACGUGGAACAGUACCUGGCUGGAGGUCGGCACCCUCAAAAUUUACCCACUACUCUCAGAAGGGCCUGUGUCGAGAGGCAACGCUGAGCCGGUGCCGACCGCGUGACCCUCACCUUGUUCAGGACCACCCAAUUGGGAUCGAUCUGGGCGUCCCCUUCAGGGUCCAGGACCACCGUCUGAUAGGCCCUGAAGUCGGUCAGGGUGACCUCUGCGUUCUCCGGGCACACGUCGAUCCGAUCGAUGACCUGGUCGUGGUCGAAGUCUGUCUCGCAGAUGUCCCCCACGCCGUCGCCUGUGGGGGUGGAGGAGGAGGGGACCAGUUCAGUAAUGCCUACUACCCCCAAGCCACCCCUCCGUGACAGAGGGGGCUGGGCAAGGAGCAGAGAGAGCCCAAGACCCAGCUCCACGUGGAGCCAGGAGUCCUGGAAUCAGCCGUGUCUGAGCCGGCCCCGCGGUCCUCGUGGUGGGUUGGUGAACCCCACUGCAGAAACUAUCGGAUCCAGCCUAUACUUUGAUGAUAGUCACCUAUAUGUUCCGGAAGCUAUACAGGAACAAACGUCCUCCCUCACGGCCUGUGAGGCUCCAGAGUUGUGCUCCAGAGGUGCUAUUCACACAGACCACAAUACGAGGCCCCUUCAGUGGCCCCUGGAGCUGGGUGAUGCAGCCGCCCUGCCUGACAGCUCUUCCCAGGCUCCUGGGAAAUGCCCGAGUCUCUGCAGGAGGAGCCUGACCCACGGCUGCAGCCCAUGACCCUGCUCAGCCCCUCUACCUCAAUCCUCCACUUCCAGGACCCUUAUGCAUGAGAAGGAUGGUGGGGAGGGAGGAAAGCUGCAGUCUGGGAAGACAGAUGCCCUACAGAGCCACAUCCCUGACAAGACACUGCUCGAAGGGAUUCCUACAAAGUUUCUGGCAAUGAUAUAGAGUUCCCAGAACACCAGGGUUCUUCUUCCACAGAAACAAGUGGGCCUUGGGGCCACCAGGCACAGGCCAUGUGGAACCCCCUGGAGCGGAAAGGCCCUCAGAGUCAGUCAUUCUAUUCCUGCUCCUAAGAGAGAACAAGGGGAAAAAGGACAAAUGAAUCCCAAGUAAAAGACUAAGCAAGACACACCCACCAUCUC
Molecule: long non-coding RNA, 1975 nt
Organism: Orcinus orca (killer whale)
Lineage: Eukaryota; Metazoa; Chordata; Mammalia; Artiodactyla; Delphinidae
Exons: 6
Source: RefSeq, a predicted model, not a curated record